RNAcentral lists this ribosomal RNA (876 nucleotides) under Bacillus inaquosorum. RNAcentral describes it as "bacterial SSU rRNA". It matches the Rfam family "Bacterial small subunit ribosomal RNA", at positions 71 to 930 of the family's 1533-position model. RNAcentral also lists the same sequence under 1 other name. The record is from RNAcentral. Lineage: Bacteria; Bacillati; Bacillota; Bacilli; Caryophanales; Bacillaceae.
GAUGGGAGCUUGCUCCCUGAUGUUAGCGGCGGACGGGUGAGUAACACGUGGGUAACCUGCCUGUAAGACUGGGAUAACUCCGGGAAACCGGGGCUAAUACCGGAUGGUUGUUUGAACCGCAUGGUUCAAACAUAAAAGGUGGCUUCGGCUACCACUUACAGAUGGACCCGCGGCGCAUUAGCUAGUUGGUGAGGUAACGGCUCACCAAGGCAACGAUGCGUAGCCGACCUGAGAGGGUGAUCGGCCACACUGGGACUGAGACACGGCCCAGACUCCUACGGGAGGCAGCAGUAGGGAAUCUUCCGCAAUGGACGAAAGUCUGACGGAGCAACGCCGCGUGAGUGAUGAAGGUUUUCGGAUCGUAAAGCUCUGUUGUUAGGGAAGAACAAGUACCGUUCGAAUAGGGCGGUACCUUGACGGUACCUAACCAGAAAGCCACGGCUAACUACGUGCCAGCAGCCGCGGUAAUACGUAGGUGGCAAGCGUUGUCCGGAAUUAUUGGGCGUAAAGGGCUCGCAGGCGGUUUCUUAAGUCUGAUGUGAAAGCCCCCGGCUCAACCGGGGAGGGUCAUUGGAAACUGGGGAACUUGAGUGCAGAAGAGGAGAGUGGAAUUCCACGUGUAGCGGUGAAAUGCGUAGAGAUGUGGAGGAACACCAGUGGCGAAGGCGACUCUCUGGUCUGUAACUGACGCUGAGGAGCGAAAGCGUGGGGAGCGAACAGGAUUAGAUACCCUGGUAGUCCACGCCGUAAACGAUGAGUGCUAAGUGUUAGGGGGUUUCCGCCCCUUAGUGCUGCAGCUAACGCAUUAAGCACUCCGCCUGGGGAGUACGGUCGCAAGACUGAAACUCAAAGGAAUUGACGGGGGCCCGCACAAGC